GAACGGUAACAGGUCUUCGGAUGCUGACGAGUGGCGGACGGGUGAGUAAUGCGUAGGAAUCUGUCUUUUAGUGGGGGACAACCCAGGGAAACUUGGGCUAAUACCGCAUGAGCCCUGAGGGGGAAAGCGGGGGAUCUUCGGACCUCGCGCUAAGAGAGGAGCCUACGUCCGAUUAGCUAGUUGGCGGGGUAAAGGCCCACCAAGGCGACGAUCGGUAGCUGGUCUGAGAGGACGACCAGCCACACUGGGACUGAGACACGGCCCAGACUCCUAGGGGAGGCAGCAGUGGGGAAUUUUUCGCAAUGGGGGCAACCCUGACGAAGCAAUGCCGCGUGGAUGAAGAAGGCCUCCGGGUUGUAGAGUCCUUUCGUGGAGGACGAAAAGGUGGGUUCUAAUACAAUCUGCUAUUGACGUGAAUCCAAGAAGAAGCACCGGCUAACUCCGU
Molecule: ribosomal RNA, 445 nt
Filed under: uncultured Acidithiobacillus sp.
Lineage: Bacteria; Pseudomonadati; Pseudomonadota; Acidithiobacillia; Acidithiobacillales; Acidithiobacillaceae
Description: bacterial SSU rRNA
Rfam family: Bacterial small subunit ribosomal RNA
Source: RNAcentral